RNAcentral lists this ribosomal RNA (490 nucleotides) under uncultured bacterium. Its description in RNAcentral is "partial 16S ribosomal RNA". It matches the Rfam family "Bacterial small subunit ribosomal RNA", at positions 30 to 507 of the family's 1533-position model. The record is from RNAcentral.
AUUGAACGCUGGCGGCAGGCCUAGCACAUGCAAGUCGAACGGUAACAGGAAGAAGCUUGCUUCUUUGCUGACGAGUGGCGGACGGGUGAGUAAUGUCUGGGAAACUGCCUGAUGGAGGGGGAUAACUACUGGAAACGGUAGCUAAUACCGCAUAACGUCGCAAGACCAAAGAGGGGGACCUUCGGGCCUCUUGCCAUCGGAUGUGCCCAGAUGGGAUUAGCUAGUAGGUGGGGUAACGGCUCACCUAGGCGACGAUCCCUAGCUGGUCUGAGAGGAUGACCAGCCACACUGGAACUGAGACACGGUCCAGACUCCUACGGGAGGCAGCAGUGGGGAAUAUUGCACAAUGGGCGCAAGCCUGAUGCAGCCAUGCCGUGUGUAUGAAGAAGGCCUUCGGGUUGUAAAGUACUUUCAGCGGGGAGGAAGGGAGUAAAGUUAAUACCUUUGCUCAUUGACGUUACCCGCAGAAGAAGCACCGGCUAACUCCGUG